UGAUGAAGAACACAGUGAAAUGUGAUAAGUAAUGUGAAUCGCAGAAUUCAGUGAGUCAUCAAAUCUUUGAACGCACCUUGCACCUUUUGGUAUUCCAAAAGGUACACCUGUUUGAGUGUCAUGAAACCCUCUCAUUAAUUAACUUUUUCAUUAAAGUUUCUUGAUGGAUGUUGAGUGUUGCUGUGAUUUUUUUACAGCUCACUUUAAAGACAUAAGCUCUUAUCAACUGAUUUGGACUGACUUGAUGUGAUAUAUAUCAACUUCAUCAAGGAAUGUAUUAUCUACAGCCAAUCAUUUUCUGAUAAGUAGGCUGCUAAAUUCUUUCAUGUGUACUCCAUGUGAAAAAAUACUCUUUUUUAAGACCUCAAAUCAGGUGGAAUUACCCCUGAACUUAAGCAUAUCAAUAAGCGGAGGAAAAGAAACUAACAAGGAUUCCCC
Molecule: ribosomal RNA, 438 nt
Filed under: Gymnosporangium tremelloides
Lineage: Eukaryota; Fungi; Basidiomycota; Pucciniomycetes; Pucciniales; Gymnosporangiaceae
Description: eukaryotic LSU rRNA
Rfam family: 5.8S ribosomal RNA (bases 2-121)
Source: RNAcentral